RNAcentral lists this small nuclear RNA (106 nucleotides) under Cervus elaphus hippelaphus. Lineage: Eukaryota; Metazoa; Chordata; Mammalia; Artiodactyla; Cervidae. The record is from RNAcentral. RNAcentral also lists the same sequence under 1 other name.
UUGCUUUGGUAGCAAAUAUAUUAAAAAAAUUGAAGUAACACUGAGAAGAUUAGCAUGGCUCCUGCCCAAGGAUGACACACAAAUGUAUGAAACCUUCCAUAUUUUU